This 1613-nucleotide long non-coding RNA is filed under the name Ananas comosus (pineapple). Its description in RNAcentral is "long non-coding RNA (ACOM_LNC020374)". Lineage: Eukaryota; Viridiplantae; Streptophyta; Magnoliopsida; Poales; Bromeliaceae. The record is from RNAcentral.
AGUCUGUUAUAUGUCUGUGUCAUAACUCAUAAAUGAUCAUAUGUCAGCUUUUCUGUAUCUGUUGAAGCAGAACUGCGUGAGAAUCAAUAUUAGUGGCUGUCUGCCACCACGAAUGACGCACCUCACACGAUCAAUGGAUUUUUGCUGUGGGUUAGUAUUCAUGAUUCAGAUUGGUAUUUGUAUGUAUAUGGGUAUCAGGUAUUGCGGGUCCAUGGCUUCCAAUAGAUGCAAGCAUCUACUGUUAAUUACCCCUGUGGAUUGGGGCACCUUCGAUUAAGAGACCUUUAUAGAUGGGAUGAGAUAAAUCGUGUCUUGGUUUAUUGAAUCCUAAGUAUAUGUAUUAGGAUUCAGUUGGAUUUGAGAUUGACUAGGUCCUAAGUAUAUGUGUUAAGACCUAGUCGAUAUUAAACUCUAUGUAUUAGAGUCUAAUUGGCUCUAAGUUUAUGUCUUAAGAGUCCGAUUAUAUUCACCUUGGUUGUAUAUUCUAAGAUGGAGAUGUGACUCGAUCCCAAGUAUAUGUAUUGAGGUGGGUCGAAUUACCUGAAAGUAGAGAAUGGUUAAUUCCUGAGUAUGUGUAUCAGGAUUAACCGAGUUUAAUAUAUUUUUCACUCUAGUUAUAUGUGCUAGAGUGAGGAUCUGACUAAGCCCUAAGGUGUUAUGCUAGGGUUCGUCGGAUUUGGUUUCAUGAGCUCUAAGUAUAUGUAUUAGAACUCGAUCGGGUAUGGAUUUCACUCUAGGUAAGUGUGCUAGAGCAAAAAGGCUGACUAGACCCUAAGCAUACGGGUUAGGAUUAGUCGAGCUUGGUUUGACUACCCACUCUAGGUAUAUGUGGUAGAGUGAAAGGUUGACUAGGCCCUAAGGGUAUGUAUUAGGGUUAGUCGGAUGAACUCUAAGUAUAUGUGUUAGAGUUCGAAUGAAUUUGAUAUAAUUCGACUGAAUUCUAAGUAUAUAAUUUAGUACUCUGUCGAUUUGGAGAUGUUUUGUCUUAGUUAUAUGUGCUAAGGCAAUUGACUUACCCCUAAGUAUAUGUAUUAGGGGUAGUCGAUAUUUAAUUUUUACUCUAGGUAUAUGAGCUAGAGUAAAGAAAAGGUUUAUGAUGAAUUUUGGGCAUGAGAUUUUGGUAUUGAUUCAUGAGAUUUGGGUAUAUAGGAUUUGAAUAUGAUUCAGUUCAUGAGGUUAAGAUAUAGUUCAUAUGGUUAAUGAGAUUUGGAUAUAGUUUGGUGCAUGGCUCAUAGGAUUUGGUUUAUGAACUCGGAUACGAUUUAUUGGAUUUGGUGUGUGGGAUUUGGUUCAUAGGAUGUGGUGUAUGGUUCAUAAGGUUUGGUUUAUUGUUCGUGGUGUUUGGUUCACGAACUUAGUUCAUGAUUUAUAGGGUUUGGUUCACGAACUUCGGUAUGGUUAAUGGGAUUGGGUUCAUGAACUUGGUGUAUGGUUCAUGGGAUUUGGUUUAUGGUUCAUGAAUGUAAGGCACUGAGUUUUUGCAAAUUGCAAGGUUCGAGUGUUUAAUUUGUGUUUCGAACUUUUCCACAUUUUCCGGAGGGUCGUAGACAGUGUUUCGACCUAUGGCUCGCAUCCCGAGAAUUGUGGUUUAAAAUCUUGCACCAAAACCCAAA